Chelonia mydas (Green sea turtle) is the source of this 45-nucleotide non-coding RNA. The record is from Rfam. NCBI's taxonomy places the organism in Eukaryota, Metazoa, Chordata, Testudines, Cheloniidae.
AAAGAGGUUUUUUUUAAAACCAUAAUACAUACAAGGCAGUUGUUU